UGACUAGGAACCAUGAGGUUGCGGGAUCAAUCCCUGGCCUUUCUCAGUGGGUUAAGGAUCUGGCAUUGCCGUGAGUUGUGGUGUAGGUUGCAGACACGGCUCGGAUCCCACGUUGCUGUGGCUCUGGCAUAGGCCAGUGGCUACAGCUCCGAUUAGACCCCUAAACUGAGAACCUCUGUAUGCUGUGGGAGUGGCCCAAGAAAAAGGCAAAAAAUAAAUAAAUAAAUAAAUAAAUAAAAUUAGUAUCUAUAAUCUUUGAAUUUUAAAAUAAAUAGUUAAAUCACAUGGGGAUAUUUGUUGAGCUGAUAUUUUCUUGUUGCUGACAUUUUCCGUAAUUAAGUAAAUAACGUAUAUUGAAGUAAACAAAUAGGCCAAAUUUUCACAAAGACCAAUAUUUUGAUUUUUCUAUUCCUUCAUUUUUAAUUUUUAGUAUUAUUUGCUUAAAGUUUUCAGUUAAGCAUAGUUCCUCAGAUCAUUCUAAGGUAUGCAAAUGCAUAUCUCCUCAGAGAAUUUUAGACCAACUUUAUUAUAAUUUUUUCAUAACUUGAUGUUAUUCUGUCCAAUAAUUAAAUGAUAAAUCUUGCCACUUUCAUUACUAAUGAAUGUGUCUACCUGUUAUCAAAUAGUAAAAUUACUUAUUUAAGGUUAUUCUUUAAUUGCUCUGCAUCUAGCCAAUUAUUCUAUUAAAUUGCUAAAUUAAAACAGGCAAGGAAUAUAAUUCAAGAACCACAUUGGCUUUAUAUUUAAACUGACAUUUUGUUUCAUUCUUGAUCUAAACUGAAUUUAUCUAAUCCUUUUCCCUUCCAAACAGUGAACAGUUUUUUAGUGGCUAUUAGCAGCAGCCUUUGAGAGGACUAUACUUUCUAUUCCUUUUAACACACAAACACACAUAUGGAAAUCUGUCACUACAUUUAUGCACACAGAAACACGUGUAAACAUAUAUUUAUUCAUACAAUGAGUCACACCAAUUAGGAUACAUUAAAAAUAAAUGACCAAAUUAAUAUAUUUAAUAACUUUAUUAAUAUUUUAUAAUUUUAAUACAUAACUCAAUAUUACUUCAGAUCCUCUUUUUCUGGUAUGUUACCAUUUUUUUGGAGACAGGAAUCAUUUGCAAAUCCAUUACUUUAGAUAUUUUGUAUGCAAUGUAAAAAAAUUUUUUUUUAAUUGAGGACAAAAUUUAUUCUUGAAAAUUAUAACCUGUAGGGUUUAAUUUAACAAAUACCCUGUAUUUAAAGAUUAUUCAGUUUUUAUGAUUGAUUACAUUUUUACCACUUUCUUCUAAUUUUUAUUAUCAGUGAAAACUUACUGACUGGCCACCUGAGCAGUAAUUACUAUGAAAGCAUUAAGUUUCAUGAUGCCAUUUGUGGUCUGUGAUUAAUUUAGUUUAUUUAUUCCAUGACUCAUUUCAUUUUUCAAGGACAUAAAGAUACUCAGUGACCUACAUAAAUAUUUGCUACUACUCAAAAAUGAUAACUACUAUUCACAUAUAUCUUCAAAUUCUUCAAAUAUUAUAUUCCACUAUUGAACUUAUCUUCCAUAGCAGUUAAAACUUAUUCUAGUCAAAGACCUUUGGAUUAACCCUGUCCCUCAAGGAGUUAAAAAAUAAACAUUUACAAUUAAAGUUAAUUAUAAUUUCAUUGAAAAUAAAUAGUUUAUUUCUAGGUGACAGAUGCUAUUUCAAAAAAAUGCAUAUUUCUUCAUAAAAGAAAAUUCUGUGAUCUGCUUAACUUGUAAUAUUUGACUUGCAAUAUACAUAUUGAGAUUAACGAUUUACAAUUUCACUAAACAACUCUUUUUAAAUUACCAAAUAUAAAGGGUUAAGUGCGGACUGAAAACAAUAUUGUUUUCAAAUUGUAUAAAUAAUUUUUAAGAGAAUGUGGACCAUAAGAUUUUUAAGUAUUCUUUAUAACAUUAGUUUUAACUAGUUCAGCUCAUUUUUUAAUAAGUAGCAAAUAUGCCUAUUGGUGGUUUUAUACUCCAGUAACUUCCUUGUCACCAAUGUGUGAAUAUUUUUUAGGUUUUUACAGUUGUCAGUUUUCACCUAGUAAUUUAUUUGUGUCUUUUAUAAAAAAUGUUAGCCAACAAAUGAAAACCUCUCUAAUAUAAAUGCAGUCAUUUACAAAAAUGAGGACAGUUUAAACUGGAAUGGAACAGAAGACUGACAAAAACAUCUUCUAAAGGAAUGGAAAUAUAGUGGCUUUUUGAGGAAAAUAUUUAAAGACAUAUGUAAUCUUGCUAGUAAAUAAUUUGAACAUCAGAAUCUGUCUGAAAAUACAUUUUCCUUGUAUUGGGCAGAAUUUUAAGAUAUCCUUUGUUCAAGUAUAUGGUCUUCAAAAUUCCAAUGGCAUUUUUAAUAGAAAUAGAAAAAAAUAUUACAAUUCCUAUGGAAUCACAAAACAAUCUUGAUAAAAGAACAAAGCUGGAGGCCUCACACUUCCUGACCUCAAAACAUAUUAUAAAGUUACAGUAAUCAAAAUAGUGUGGUACUGGCAUAAAGACAGACAUAUAGUCACUGAAAUAAAAUAAAAAAGCCCAGAUAUAGAUAGAUAGAUUUUUUUUUCAAAUGAUCUUUGACAAGAGUACCAAGGGUACACACUGAGAAAAGCCUAGUCUGUUCAACAAAUGGUACUAGAAAAACUGAAUAUCUACAUGCAAAAGAAUGAACUUAGAUCUUUAUUUUACACCAUGCCACAAAAAUCAACUCAAAAUGGUUUAAAAACUUAAAUGUACAACCUGAAACUGAAAUUCUCGUGGUUUCAUAGCAAAGAGGAAGAGAUUCAUAACACUGGUCUUUGCAACAACUUAUUGGAUAUGACACCAGAGGCACAAGUAAAAAAAGCAAAACAGACAAGUGGGACUGCAUCAAACCAAAACGUUUCUGCAUAGGAAUGGAAACAACAGGAUCAAAAGAUAACCUAUGGAAUGGGAGAAAAUAUUUGCAAACUAUAUAUCUGAUAAGAAUUUAACCUCCAAAAUAUAUAAGGAAUUUCAUUAACUCAAUAGCAGUAAAAUAAAUAAAUCAAUUUAAAAAGUCGACAAAUAAUUUGAAUAGACAUUUUUCCAAAGAAGACAUACAUAUGGCCAAUAAUUGCAUGACGAAAAGCUCAACAUUGCUUAUCAUCAGGGAAGUGCAAAUCAAAACCACAAUGAGACAUCAUCUCACACCUGUUAAGAUAACUACUUUAUCAGAAACAAAAGAUGACAAGGAUUUGAAGAAUUAGAAUCCUUGCAUGCUGUUGGGGGAAUGUAAAAUGGUACCUCCACCAUGGAAAAUACUGUAGAGGUUCCUCAAAAAAAUUAAAAAUAAAAAUUACCAUAUAUCCUGACAAUUGCACAUCUGGGUAUAUUCCAAUGAGUUUGAAAUUAUGAUCUCAAAUAAUUAUCUACAUCCUUAUGUUCACUGAGGCAUUUUUCACAGUAGCCAAGGUAUGGAAACAGUCUAAAUAUCCAUCUAUGGAUUAUUGAAUUAAGAAAAUGUAGUAUAUACAUACAGUAGCAUAUUAGCCAGUUUUAUUUAUUUAUUUAUUUUUAUCCAGUUUUAAAAAAGAAGGAAAUCCUGCCAUAUGCAACAGCAUGGAUGAACUUGGAGGACAUUGUACUAAGUGAAAUAAGCCAGUCACAGAGGACAAAUCUUAUAAGACUUAUAUGCGGUAUUUAGAAUCAUCAAAAUCAUAGAAGCAGAGAGUAGAAUGUUCAUUGCCAGGGGAAAUGGGAAGCAAUUCACGAAUAUAGUUUCAGUUAUGCAAAAUGAAUAUGUUCUAGAGAUGUGCCAUAAAACACUGUGCCUAUUGUCAGCAGUACUGUAUUGUGAACUUAAAAAUCUAAGAUAGUAGAUCUCAUGUUAAGUGUACUUAGAUUUUUUAAAAAUGAUUUUUGAAAUCUUUGCUUCUGGUGUUACUCCUGUAAUUAUUUUAUAGUACAUGGCAAAGGUGGAUUUUGCAGAUGUAGUUAAAGUUACUAAUUUGCUGAUCAUUAGAAAGAGUCAUCAACUGGGUGGCCUUAAUCUAAUCUUGUGCAUCCUUAACAAAGCAGAGAGUUUUCUCAGGCUGGUGGAAGAAGAAGUCAGAUCUGAAGCAUGGAAAAGAUUCAAUCCACCAUUGCAGGCUGGAAGAUGAAGGUGACUAUGUGACCAGGAAUGCAGUAGGCUGAUGAAAUCUGGGAGUGGCCUCUGGCUGACAACCAGAAAGAAAACCAGGACCUCAGUCCUGCAACCAGAAAGACCUGAAUUAUACCACAACCUGAAUGAGCUUGAAAGUAGAUGCCUUCAGAUAAGAGCCCAAUCAAUAGACAUCUUGUUGAGAGUCUACAAGGUCCUUAGCAGAGAACGCAGUUGAGUCUGACGUGUCUCAAUCUACAGACUUUUCAAAGACUUAUAGACAGAUCUGUCUGCCAAAUAUUUUAGCUUUGUUGACUACAUGCUUACUUUAGUACUGUACUAUAAAGACUCAAAGGGAAAAAAACAACACAUAGCUCUUGAACCUUGAACCUAGCAGGGCAAUUACAACAACAUAGCAUAUCUAAGCUACUCCCUCCUAAACCUACAAAAUACCUUUCUCAACAUUUGCAUGUGUGCACAUAUGACACUCCAUUCUCCAGCAAAAGCUAUAAGAUUGACUAUCUUAAAGACUAGCUUUGAUUAUGUCUUUAUUCUGCAUAUUUGAUUGUCAUUAACUGUCCUGCAGUUACUUUCUGUUACAAAAUGAAGAUUUAUUCUUUGGUUUAACAAAAAACAAUCAGAUAUAUAUAUAUAUAUCAGACAAUCAAACAAGUAUUCUUUUUUCUUGGCCUACCAAAAAUCUAGAGAAUGGAUGAUCUUUCUAUUCUAUUAGGCCUGCUGUUUCUUUGUCCAUAACACACACUAAGGUCAUAUUUCUCUUAUAUAUAUUUGUUCUGUGUAAUUUCUUCCUUCCAAUUAUAUUACUAAAUUAACUAAGCCAUCUAUACUAGGAGGGAAAGAACCAAGAAAAAGUAGAUUGAAUAAAGAAAGAAAAAGGGAGUUCCUGUCGUGGCUCAGUGGUGAACAAAUCCAACUAGGAACCACGAGGUUGUGGGUUCGAUCCCUGGCCUGUGCAGCCUUAGAUCUAAAGACAGAUGAAAAAAAAAAAAAAA
Molecule: long non-coding RNA, 5109 nt
Filed under: Sus scrofa (pig)
Lineage: Eukaryota; Metazoa; Chordata; Mammalia; Artiodactyla; Suidae
Description: lncRNA (ENSSSCG00030051301.1)
Source: RNAcentral